This 1359-nucleotide ribosomal RNA is filed under the name uncultured bacterium. Its description in RNAcentral is "bacterial SSU rRNA". It matches the Rfam family "Bacterial small subunit ribosomal RNA", at positions 28 to 1381 of the family's 1533-position model. The record is from RNAcentral.
GAUGAACGCUAGCUACAGGCUUAACACAUGCAAGUCGAGGGGCAGCAUUUCAGUUUGCUUGCAAACUGGAGAUGGCGACCGGCGCACGGGUGAGUAACACGUAUCCAACCUGCCGAUAACUCGGGGAUAGCCUUUCGAAAGAAAGAUUAAUACCCGAUGGUAUAAUCAGACCGCAUGGUCUUGUUAUUAAAGAAUUUCGGUUAUCGAUGGGGAUGCGUUCCACUAGGCAGUUGGUGAGGUAACGGCUCACCAAACCUUCGAUGGAUAGGGGUUCUGAGAGGAAGGUCCCCCACAUUGGAACUGAGACACGGUCCAAACUCCUACGGGAGGCAGCAGUGAGGAAUAUUGGUCAAUGGGCGCAGGCCUGAACCAGCCAAGUAGCGUGAAGGAUGACUGCCCUAUGGGUUGUAAACUUCUUUUAUAUGGGAAUAAAGUUUUCCACGUGUGGAAUUUUGUAUGUACCAUAUGAAUAAGGAUCGGCUAACUCCGUGCCAGCAGCCGCGGUAAUACGGAGGAUCCGAGCGUUAUCCGGAUUUAUUGGGUUUAAAGGGAGCGUAGGUGGACAGUUAAGUCAGUUGUGAAAGUUUGCGGCUCAACCGUAAAAUUGCAGUUGAUACUGGCUGUCUUGAGUACAGUAGAGGUGGGCGGAAUUCGUGGUGUAGCGGUGAAAUGCUUAGAUAUCACGAAGAACUCCGAUUGCGAAGGCAGCUCACUGGACUGCAACUGACACUGAUGCUCGAAAGUGUGGGUAUCAAACAGGAUUAGAUACCCUGGUAGUCCACACAGUAAACGAUGAAUACUCGCUGUUUGCGAUAUACAGUAAGCGGCCAAGCGAAAGCAUUAAGUAUUCCACCUGGGGAGUACGCCGGCAACGGUGAAACUCAAAGGAAUUGACGGGGGCCCGCACAAGCGGAGGAACAUGUGGUUUAAUUCGAUGAUACGCGAGGAACCUUACCCGGGCCUAAAUUGCAUUUGAAUAUAUUGGAAACAGUAUAGCCGUAAGGCAAAUGUGAAGGUGCUGCAUGGUUGUCGUCAGCUCGUGCCGUGAGGUGUCGGCUUAAGUGCCAUAACGAGCGCAACCCUUAUCUUUAGUUACUAACAGGUCAUGCUGAGGACUCUAGAGAGACUGCCGUCGUAAGAUGUGAGGAAGGUGGGGAUGACGUCAAAUCAGCACGGCCCUUACGUCCGGGGCUACACACGUGUUACAAUGGGGGGUACAGAAGGCAGCUACCUGGUGACAGGAUGCUAAUCCCAAAAGCCUCUCUCAGUUCGGAUCGAAGUCUGCAACCCGACUUCGUGAAGCUGGAUUCGCUAGUAAUCGCGCAUCAGCCAUGGCGCGGUGAAUACGUUCCCGGGCCU